Molecule: ribosomal RNA, 445 nt
Filed under: uncultured bacterium
Lineage: Bacteria
Description: partial 16S ribosomal RNA
Rfam family: Bacterial small subunit ribosomal RNA
Source: RNAcentral
GUGAGGAAUAUUGGUCAAUGGGCGCGAGCCUGAACCAGCCAAGUAGCGUGAGGGAUGACUGCCCUAUGGGUUGUAAACCUCUUUUGCAGGGGGGUAAAGUGGUUCACGUGUGGACCAUUGCAAGUACCCUGCGAAUAAGGAUCGGCUAACUCCGUGCCAGCAGCCGCGGUAAUACGGAGGAUCCGAGCGUUAUCCGGAUUUAUUGGGUUUAAAGGGAGCGUAGGCGGGGGUUUAAGUCAGCUGUGAAAUGCCGUGGCCCAACCAUGGAACUGCAGUUGAAACUGGACCUCUUGAGAGUACAUAAGGAAGGCGGAAUUCGUGGUGUAGCGGUGAAAUGCAUAGAUAUCACGUAGAACUCCGAUUGCGAAGGCAGCUUUCCGGGGUACAUCUGACGCUGAAGCUCGAAAGUGCGGGAAUCAAACAGGAUUAGAAACCCGUGUAGUCC